RNAcentral lists this ribosomal RNA (541 nucleotides) under uncultured bacterium. RNAcentral's name for it is "bacterial SSU rRNA". It matches the Rfam family "Bacterial small subunit ribosomal RNA", at positions 135 to 671 of the family's 1533-position model. The record is from RNAcentral.
AAUGGGGGAUAACGUAGCGAAAGUUACGCUAAUACCGCAUAUGCCCUGAGGGGGAAAGGUGGGGAUCGCAAGACCUAUCGUUUUCGGAGUGGCCGAUAUCAGAUUAGCUAGUUGGUGGGGUAAAGGCCCACCAAGGCGACGAUCUGUAGCGGGUCUGAGAGGAUGAUCCGCCACACUGGGACUGAGACACGGCCCAGACUCCUACGGGAGGCAGCAGUGGGGGAUUUUGGACAAUGGGCGCAAGCCUGAUCCAGCCAUGCCGCGUGAGUGAAGAAGGCCUUCGGGUUGUAAAGCUCUUUCGGCCGGGAAGAAAUCGCACCAGUUAAUACCUGGUGUGGAUGACGGUACCGGAAUAAGAAGCACCGGCUAACUACGUGCCAGCAGCCGCGGUAAUACGUAGGGUGCGAGCGUUAAUCGGAAUUACUGGGCGUAAAGCGUGCGCAGGCGGUUUUGUAAGACAGGCGUGAAAUCCCCGGGCUCAACCUGGGAACUGCGCUUGUGACUGCAAGGCUAGAGUAUGGCAGAGGGGGGUGGAAUUCCA